CACAAGCGUAAAAUGAUUAUUGUUCUGUAACAGACUUACUAAUAUAAUGAAAAUUCAACUACAAAUCACUGUAUAAACAUGACUCACUUCAACAUUUACAAAUAUUUAUUAACAUUGGAAAUACUUAGCUACUAAGCAACGAAUCAACAAAAACUUAAUUAGGUAUAAAAAAUAUUAUUUCCUAUAAUGAACACAAAAACACAAAAAUGGACAAAGAAUGCACAUGUAUCUAAUAUUAUAUGCAAACGAACAUAAUCUCAAAAAACUAGAUUUAAGAUGCACAGUAACUUAACAAAUUAUCAAUCCAAACUUAGCUAAUAAUAUAAUAUAUAGACCCAACGAAUCGGAACAACAAAUUUUGGAUCUAGCUGCCUCACACAAUUCAUAAAUCAUACAAAGACGUUUAGCUAUUGCCUUAUGCGUAAUCUUCCUCAUGGGAAGAGUAUUGUGGAGAUGAGUCAGUGUUUGAAGCACGCUCAACAUACUCAACAGACUCACCACGGGCACCGCCCUUUCUGGAUUUCUCUUUCUCAACUUUCUUUUGCUCAGAAUAGUUAAGCUUAAAGUUACCAGAUUCCCAGGGCUUGAUGACAGACAUAUACAACUCAUUAAUUUCUUCCAAAGUAAGACCUUUAGUCUCUUUAGCAAACAAGAAAAUAACAAUUGCACCGGUCAAAUUACAAGAAGCAAAAACGUAACCGUACUUGAAUCCAAUAGAAGCUUGAAUGAAUGGAGUAAAGAAUGAAAUUAGGAAAUUCCAGAGCCAGUUGCUAGCAGUAGCGACGGCAGCACACUUAGAGCGGUAACGAACAGGGUAUGACUCACCAACAAUAACGUAUGCGGCA
This is a non-coding RNA of Schizosaccharomyces pombe (fission yeast), 845 nucleotides long. NCBI's taxonomy places the organism in Eukaryota, Fungi, Ascomycota, Schizosaccharomycetes, Schizosaccharomycetales, Schizosaccharomycetaceae. The record is from the annotation of a GenBank genome assembly.